AGAGUUUGAUCCUGGCUCAGGACGAACGCUGGCGGCGUGCAUAACGCAUGCAAGUCGUGCGCGUCCGUCCCUUCGGGGGCGGAUGAGCGGCGAACGGGUGAGUAACGCGUGAGCAACCUGCCGCCUGGUGGGGGAUAACCUUUGGGAAACCGGGGCUAAUACCGCAUAUGGUCGGGUGAUCGAUGGAUCGCCCGAGCAAAGCCGAGAGGCGCCGGGUGAGGGGCUCGCGGCCCAUCAGCUAGUAGGUGUGGUAACGGCGCACCUAGGCUAUGACGGGUAGCUGGUCUGAGAGGAUGAUCAGCCACACUGGGACUGAGACACGGCCCAGACUCCUACGGAGGCAGCAGCGAGGAAUUUUCCACAAUGGGCCGUAUGGCCUGAUGGAGCAACGCCGCGUGGGGGACGAAGCGUCUCGGCGUGUAAACCCCUUUUGGGCGGGAAGAUGAUGACGGUACCGCCCGAAUAAGCCCCGGCUAACUACGUGCCAGCAGCCGCGGUAAUACGUAGGGGGCGAGCGUUGUCCGGAUUUAUUGGGCGUAAAGAGCGCGCAGGCGGCCCGCCAAGUCACCGCGUGAAAUCCCCCGGCUCAACCGGGGAGGGUCGGGUGAAACUGGCGGACUUGAGGAUGGGAGAGGGGUGCGGAAUUCCCGGUGUAGUGGUGAAAUGCGUAGAUAUCGGGAGGAACACCAGUGGCGAAGGCGGCACCCUGGCCCAUACCUGCGCUGAGGCGCGAAGGCCGGGGGAGCGAACGGGAUUAGAUACCCUAGUAGUCC
RNAcentral lists this ribosomal RNA (773 nucleotides) under uncultured bacterium. Its description in RNAcentral is "bacterial SSU rRNA". It matches the Rfam family "Bacterial small subunit ribosomal RNA", at positions 8 to 796 of the family's 1533-position model. The record is from RNAcentral.